Molecule: long non-coding RNA, 1039 nt
Organism: Pyrus x bretschneideri (Chinese white pear)
Lineage: Eukaryota; Viridiplantae; Streptophyta; Magnoliopsida; Rosales; Rosaceae
Exons: 2
Source: RefSeq, a predicted model, not a curated record
CCAAUCACCUCACACGUACAAAAUUACAAAUCCACCUCAUCAAUCUUUCCCAUGGAUUGCUACAUGCCCGCCUCGAUCAAUUCGGGUUCUUCUCUGCCGAAACUCGGGGUCUCCGCCCCGUCAAUUGAGGUUUAUAUCGCCGGGUGUUGCUCCGGUGUGCCUAUGAUAUUGACAAAAAACAUACGGCUUAGUCCGAGGCGGAAGGCCCCCCAGGCACUGCUGCGCUCGAUGCCAUUCCAGAGGAUGAGGAGGUUGGGAAGGAGCACAGCAAGGGCUGUAAUGGGAUGAUUCACCAUCGGAAACUUCAGAUUACAGACUCUGAAAUUGAAGAGCAUGAGUUCUACUCCGAUGAAAUGUACACUGGUGAGGACAGCCAACUCACAUGGUUGCAUGCUGGUGUUAGAGUUGGUGUUGGAAUUGGCCUUGGGAUAGGGAUUGGUGUUGGAUUGCUCAUGCGUUCCUAUCAAGCGACUACCAGUAAUUUCCGAAGGAGGUUUCUCUGAAGUGGAUAAUCAGAAAUGCUUUUGGGAAAGUCAAGGGAAUACAAUAAUGAAAUAUUGAAGAUUGUGAGGAAGAGAGAACGGCACGAACACAAAUCUGUUGAGCAUGAGUUUUUGCAGUCGGGUUGGAAGUUUACUUCACUCCAAAGGCCGGUUACUGGACCAUUGAAAUGUUGUUUCAAUGAAACAUCAUCACGGUGACAAUGUGGAGAACCAGCUUAGCCUUCCGAGGCAGGAAAAUAAGCUUUGAAGAUCUGAGGGAGCUGUAGGUAAUAGCGAAGACUGUUUAGCAGCCGGCACAAGCUUGUACAAGGUUUGACUUUGCUUUCUUGAAGAUGCAUGUAUUUGUCUAUUUUUUUCAUGUCCUGUAGAAAAUUUUGCGGUCCUUGGAGUUGGUUGGGAAACUUCAUAUCAUGGAUGUUUUUGUAGAUAAAUGUAGCGUUGCUUCACUUGGACUGACGUGUUUUUAUUUUCUCGCUCAUUCCUCCAUUUAAUAAAAUUCGAUGUGGGCAAGCAGUGCGCAAGCUGUUGAUGAAUAA